UGACAUCCCCCUUACCUGUACAGAGAUGGACGUUCCCCUUCGGGGGCAGGGGUGACAGGUUGUGCAUGGUUGUCGUCAGCUCGUGUCGNGAGAUCUUGGGUUAAGUCCCGCAAGGAGCGCCACCAUUCUCUUGUGCCCCCAGCAUUAAGUUGGGCACUCUAAGGAGGCAGCCGGUGACAAACUGGAGGAAGGUGGGGAUGACGUCAAAUCAUCAUGGCCCUUAUGAGCAUGGUCACACACGUGCUACAAUAAGGGUGGNCCGCCCA
Molecule: ribosomal RNA, 266 nt
Filed under: uncultured bacterium
Lineage: Bacteria
Description: partial 16S ribosomal RNA
Rfam family: Bacterial small subunit ribosomal RNA
Source: RNAcentral